UACAGAGGUCCCAAGCGUUGUUCGGAUUCACUGGGCGUAAAGGGUGCGUAGGUGGUCGGAUAAGUCUGAUGUGAAAUCUCCGAGCUUAACUCGGAAAUGGCAUUGGAUACUAUUCGGCUAGAGAGUUGGAGGGGGGACUGGAAUACUUGGUGUAGCAGUGAAAUGCGUAGAUAUCAAGUGGAACACCAGUGGCGAAGGCGAGUCCCUGGACAACUUCUGACACUGAGGCACGAAAGCUAGGGGAGCAAACAGG
Molecule: ribosomal RNA, 253 nt
Filed under: uncultured bacterium
Lineage: Bacteria
Description: partial 16S ribosomal RNA
Rfam family: Bacterial small subunit ribosomal RNA
Source: RNAcentral